Molecule: long non-coding RNA, 308 nt
Organism: Paramacrobiotus metropolitanus
Lineage: Eukaryota; Metazoa; Tardigrada; Eutardigrada; Parachela; Macrobiotidae
Exons: 3
Source: RefSeq, a predicted model, not a curated record
GGCGCAGGUGUCGUAUCACGGACGCCGGGAGGAGGUCAAGUUCUUCGUCUCCAUUCCCGGAACGUACACACUCGGCGGGGCCACGCCUUCCAGCAACGACCCGAAGGCCAGCCAGGAGGACGCCAGUCUGCUGGUGUCCGGGGGUGAAGGCUACGUGGACUUCCGCUACGAUGACAGUGCGGAGAGCGGACUGGAGGAUUCUCCGGGCGGCAACGCGGAGCCGCGCAGUAUCCGCUCGCACCUGAUCGUGUGGCAGACGCCGACCACGCCUACCACCUCCGCGCCCCGAUCCUGAAGGAGAGCGACGG